This 440-nucleotide ribosomal RNA is filed under the name uncultured Rhodospirillaceae bacterium. RNAcentral's name for it is "bacterial SSU rRNA". It matches the Rfam family "Bacterial small subunit ribosomal RNA", at positions 338 to 795 of the family's 1533-position model. The record is from RNAcentral. Lineage: Bacteria; Pseudomonadati; Pseudomonadota; Alphaproteobacteria; Rhodospirillales; Rhodospirillaceae.
CCUACGGGUGGCAGCAGUGGGGAAUAUUGGACAAUGGGCGCAAGCCUGAUCCAGCAAUGCCGCGUGAGUGAUGAAGGCCUUAGGGUUGUAAAGCUCUUUCGGCGGGGAAGAUGAUGACGGUACCCGCAGAAGAAGCCCCGGCUAACUUCGUGCCAGCAGCCGCGGUAAUACGAAGGGGGCUAGCGUUGUUCGGAAUUACUGGGCGUAAAGGGCGCGUAGGCGGCGCAUUAAGUCAGGUGUGAAAGCCCUGGGCUCAACCCAGGAAUUGCACUUGAUACUGAUGUGCUUGAAUCCGGAAGAGGAUGACGGAAUUCCCAGUGUAGAGGUGAAAUUCAUUGAUAUUGGGAAGAACACCAGUGGCGAAGGCGGUCAUCUGGUCCGGUAUUGACGCUGAGGCGCGAAAGCGUGGGGAGCAAACAGGAUUAGAUACCCGAGUAGUC